AAUAACCUCAAUAUAAACAUAACUCUAAAAACAUUUUUGUCCAAAUUAAAAUGCUCUCCUAGUUGCUAUUUGCCUAUAUCACUGCUCAAAAGUUAAACCGUACUUUCUCUCCUUCUCAUUUCCACCCCAAAAAUUCUCCAUUGUAACUUUAUCGAUGUUUGGUUGUGAUUUCCUUAAUCGUUCUUCACCUUUAUGGGAGAGACUAGAGAAACAAUUCGAAGAAUUCUAGAUCUGGAGGAAUCGGAGACUCUACAUGUUGUGGCGAUGGAGAUAGAUUCAGCCACUCAGCCCAUAUAUCCUCUUCUCUAUGAAAUUGCAAAUAACUGCUUUGCAAUUGCUACCCAAAAAAGUGGGUGCUGUGUGAUACAGUCAUGUGUAGAAUCUUCUGGUGGAGAACUCAGAGAUUGCAUAAUUCCUGAGAUAUUGACAAAUGCAGUGCAACUAUCAGAAGAUCAAUAUGGCAACUAUGUGGUGCAACAUCUCUUGGGACUGAAGUUACCAGAAGUUACAUAUAUUUUAAUUGAUAGGCUUCAAUGAAACUUUUUGACUCUCUCUUGCAAUAAGUACGCUAGUAAUGUUGUUGAGAAAAUUAUCCUCGAUUCAAGAGAAAAGCACUCCACGAGAAUUAUCACCGAGCUGCUCAGUAAUCCAAGUGGUUCAAUGCUACUAAUGGACCCUUAUGGUAACUUUGUCAUCCAGUCAUCACUGCAAAGAGCAAAGGUAAGUUUAGUUCACUAAAUUCCUUGGUCUAUGAGCCUGCUUAUAUCGUAUAAGAAACAAAAUGAGCCAUCUGGAGCUUCUAAUUCAGCUUGGACUGAAAUGACCUUCUAGGAGUUCUCUUUUCUCUGUAUGCCUGCAUGGUAAAAACAAUCUCAAACCAUAGGCGUGGCUAUUUUGACCUAUUUAGACUAAAUAUUGCAGAAGAUAAUAUGAAGGGAAAUUGCACAAUCAGUUACGACUAGUACCUGUACAUACCAUUGAAAAUAGAGAAGGUUGUUGUUAUUGGUGGUGGUUUAAUGGGCUCAUGUAUUUCCACAGCUCUUAUACUCAGUUCUAUACAAGUCAUUCUCAAAGAAAUUAACUUCGACUAUCUGCAAAAGUAACUCAAAUCAAUAGACGGUACAUUUCCCAUUUUCGGAAUGUCUUUUUCAUAUUACACAGAUAUAAUUGUAGAAAUUUACACUUUUUGGUGGCAAAGUGAAGCUUUUCUGUUAAUAACUUGGUGUGUUGCUGCCAUGGAUGUAAAGAGUAAAUAUCAUUAAUGAGUGAAUAUUAUCUGAGAACUAAUUUAUUGAUUUAGAAAUAUGGUUGCAUUUGAAAUGACUGAAAACAUCAGAUAGCUGUAUCUUACCUUAGGUUUACUUUUACACUUAAUUAGUUUCCAAAACUUUUAAGUUGAUAACAUUGGAACCUAUCAACAAUGUUGUUGAAAGAAGUCAGAUACAUUCCAAUCCAAGCAUAUGACAUAGCGGGUUUGUGUACGAGUAAUGUAGUUUCAGUGAUUGUUGGCCCUGAGCUGGCUUCAACCCUUGUUAUUGUUAUUUCAAAGGUGGUUAUGCAUCUAAUUUCUGUUUUUUUUUCUUAACAAAAAAUAGAGAAUCUUUUUUUGAUAACAGAGAAAUCUCUGUUGUUGCUGCUGCUAAUGAGGUUCAUUUGAGCAGCUCUUGUGUGUCAAAAAGUGAUGGGAAUGGAGACAAGUUAAACAUUGUUUCUUCAGCCAUGGCUCCAAGUUCGAGUUCUACUGGUUCCACAACUACAACGUGUUGGUGCUCGGGAUGACAAGGGGAAUCCUAUUAUAAGGGACUACUACAGUAGUCCACCUACUGCAAGUUUGUUUUCAACAUGGAUCAGGGACCACCUGUGUGGUCAGAGUGGCUAGUUUUUAACAGAGUCAAUGCUCGUGCUAGAAAAGGAUUGGUAUUAAGUCCUAUGCGACUUCUCCUAAGAAUGUGUAAACUACAAGGACAUGAAUGGUUUUGUCACAUGUAUGAAAAUGAACUUUUAGAAAGAUCAACGUAUGCCCCUAUGAUCGACUCGAGACGUACUUAUAGAAGCUCAGUCUUUGCCUCUAAAAUAUUGUUGCGCAUAAAUAAGAUGAGUCCUCUAGGAGUUACUACAAGCUAAAUCAAUCACACUGAUAACUCCAAGGCAAUAGGCAUUAGAGGCAGAACAGUGAGCUCUGCAGUUUAAAGUCGCUCCUGGUUUCGUCGUUGUCCCUAGUUCGUCGCUCCAAGAGAGGUAUAACUCUUUACCUUUAAUUUUUCCUUGUUUGUUUCAGACCAAGAGUGUUAUGCGUUGUUGUGACUGAAAUAGUGAGCUGCUAGUUUGUAUCAGCUUCUUAGUUGAUAUGAUUUAAUCUAUUUUCUUAAAGUUAAUUGAGUCUCCUUUUAGUUUGUUCAAGAUGGUCUGUAGUUCAUUCAAUCGCAAUUUUAAGUGUGCCUACUAUGUGUUCUGGGUUCUCGAAAUGGGGCUGUAAAAUCUGGUUGUUUACCUUCCUCUUCAAGUGUGGUUCAGUUCUCUUUUGAGCAUCUUUUAACAUACUCAUUGUAUAUCUCCGUCUGAUUGUUCUCAAAUGCUAUCUGAUGCUAUGAGACUUCAAGUUCUAAUGUUCAAUUUGAUCAAAAAUAGUUUGUCUAGGUCCUGAUUUUGUUUGAAUUUAUUUUAGUACAGUUUGUAUGGACUACAUAUUGUAAGCAAGUGAGAUAGUAUACUCAUAAACUAUUUUUUCGCAUUAAAGUAACUGAACUUUACAGACUAUAUAAGUUAUUUUUUAAAAGUUAGUUUUUGACU
Molecule: RNA transcript, 2790 nt
Organism: Solanum stenotomum
Lineage: Eukaryota; Viridiplantae; Streptophyta; Magnoliopsida; Solanales; Solanaceae
Gene name: pumilio homolog 15-like
Exons: 7
Source: RefSeq, a predicted model, not a curated record